This 1484-nucleotide ribosomal RNA is filed under the name Bacillus australimaris. RNAcentral's name for it is "bacterial SSU rRNA". It matches the Rfam family "Bacterial small subunit ribosomal RNA". Lineage: Bacteria; Bacillati; Bacillota; Bacilli; Caryophanales; Bacillaceae. The record is from RNAcentral.
GCUCAGGACGAACGCUGGCGGCGUGCCUAAUACAUGCAAGUCGAGCGGACAGAAGGGAGCUUGCUCCCGGAUGUUAGCGGCGGACGGGUGAGUAACACGUGGGUAACCUGCCUGUAAGACUGGGAUAACUCCGGGAAACCGGAGCUAAUACCGGAUAGUUCCUUGAACCGCAUGGUUCAAGGAUGAAAGACGGUUUCGGCUGUCACUUACAGAUGGACCCGCGGCGCAUUAGCUAGUUGGUGGGGUAAAGGCUCACCAAGGCGGACGAUGCGUAGCCGACCUGAGAGGGUGAUCGGCCACACUGGGACUGAGACACGGCCCAGACUCCUACGGGAGGCAGCAGUAGGGAAUCUUCCGCAAUGGACGAAAGUCUGACGGAGCAACGCCGCGUGAGUGAUGAAGGUUUUCGGAUCGUAAAGCUCUGUUGUUAGGGAAGAACAAGUGCGAGAGUAACUGCUCGCACCUUGACGGUACCUAACCAGAAAGCCACGGCUAACUACGUGCCAGCAGCCGCGGUAAUACGUAGGUGGCAAGCGUUGUCCGGAAUUAUUGGGCGUAAAGGGCUCGCAGGCGGUUUCUUAAGUCUGAUGUGAAAGCCCCCGGCUCAACCGGGGAGGGUCAUUGGAAACUGGGAAACUUGAGUGCAGAAGAGGAGAGUGGAAUUCCACGUGUAGCGGUGAAAUGCGUAGAGAUGUGGAGGAACACCAGUGGCGAAGGCGACUCUCUGGUCUGUAACUGACGCUGAGGAGCGAAAGCGUGGGGAGCGAACAGGAUUAGAUACCCUGGUAGUCCACGCCGUAAACGAUGAGUGCUAAGUGUUAGGGGGUUUCCGCCCCUUAGUGCUGCAGCUAACGCAUUAAGCACUCCGCCUGGGGAGUACGGUCGCAAGACUGAAACUCAAAGGAAUUGACGGGGGCCCGCACAAGCGGUGGAGCAUGUGGUUUAAUUCGAAGCAACGCGAAGAACCUUACCAGGUCUUGACAUCCUCUGACAACCCUAGAGAUAGGGCUUUCCCUUCGGGGACAGAGUGACAGGUGGUGCAUGGUUGUCGUCAGCUCGUGUCGUGAGAUGUUGGGUUAAGUCCCGCAACGAGCGCAACCCUUGAUCUUAGUUGCCAGCAUUCAGUUGGGCACUCUAAGGUGACUGCCGGUGACAAACCGGAGGAAGGUGGGGAUGACGUCAAAUCAUCAUGCCCCUUAUGACCUGGGCUACACACGUGCUACAAUGGACAGAACAAAGGGCUGCAAGACCGCAAGGUUUAGCCAAUCCCAUAAAUCUGUUCUCAGUUCGGAUCGCAGUCUGCAACUCGACUGCGUGAAGCUGGAAUCGCUAGUAAUCGCGGAUCAGCAUGCCGCGGUGAAUACGUUCCCGGGCCUUGUACACACCGCCCGUCACACCACGAGAGUUUGCAACACCCGAAGUCGGUGAGGUAACCUUUAUGGAGCCAGCCGCCGAAGGUGGGGCAGAUGAUUGGGGUGAAGUUC